UCCUCUUCAAUAGACUAAUCUAGUCGAUGAUAGAUUUAAUCAACUCCAACAAUUAAUUAUGAUCUAAUAGUAAUCUAUCAUCAGGUUAGAAGCACAAAUAAGACAGUUAGCUGAGUCUACCAUGAGGAGAGAAUCAGAUCAAUUAUUAAGCCAACCUAUCGUAAAUCUCAGGAACAAUCCAUCCACUGUCCACCAACCAUC
RNAcentral lists this long non-coding RNA (201 nucleotides) under Elaeis guineensis (African oil palm). RNAcentral's name for it is "long non-coding RNA (EGUI_LNC038140)". Lineage: Eukaryota; Viridiplantae; Streptophyta; Magnoliopsida; Arecales; Arecaceae. The record is from RNAcentral.